ACUUAAAUAGUUUAAGUAAAAUUAAAAAUUUUAAUUUGUGGAAUUAAAGAUGCAGGCUUUGCUUUAAGUA
Molecule: transfer RNA, 70 nt
Filed under: Ips nitidus
Lineage: Eukaryota; Metazoa; Arthropoda; Insecta; Coleoptera; Curculionidae
Description: tRNA-His
Source: RNAcentral